UAAGCCUCUCCACAUCCAAAUUGAACAGC
RNAcentral lists this non-coding RNA (29 nucleotides) under Homo sapiens (human). Lineage: Eukaryota; Metazoa; Chordata; Mammalia; Primates; Hominidae. The record is from RNAcentral.